CAGGCUUAACACAUGCAAGUCGAGCGGAAACGAAGAAGAGCUUGCUUCUUCGGCGUCGAGCGGCGGACGGGUGAGUAAUGCUUGGGAAUAUGCCUUGAGGUGGGGGACAACAGUUGGAAACGACUGCUAAUACCGCAUAAUGUCUACGGACCAAAGGAGGGGAUCUUCGGACCUUUCGCCUUUAGAUUAGCCCAAGUGAGAUUAGCUAGUUGGUGGGGUAAUGGCCUACCAAGGCGACGAUCUCUAGCUGGUUUGAGAGGAUGAUCAGCCACACUGGGACUGAGACACGGCCCAGACUCCUACGGGAGGCAGCAGUGGGGAAUAUUGCACAAUGGGGGAAACCCUGAUGCAGCCAUGCCGCGUGUGUGAAGAAGGCCUUCGGGUUGUAAAGCACUUUCAGCGAGGAGGAAAGGGUGUAGUUAAUACCGUGCAUCUGUGACGUUACUCGCAGAAGAAGCACCGGCUAACUCCGUGCCAGCAGCCGCGGUAAUACGGAGGGUGCGAGCGUUAAUCGGAAUUACUGGGCGUAAAGCGUGCGUAGGCGGUUAUAUAAGCGAGAUGUGAAAGCCCCGGGCUUAACCUGGGAACUGCAUUUCGAACUGUAUGACUAGAGUAUUGUAGAGGGUGGUGGAAUUUCCAGUGUAGCGGUGAAAUGCGUAGAGAUUGGAAGGAACAUCAGUGGCGAAGGCGGCCACCUGGACAAAUACUGACGCUGAGGCACGAAAGCGUGGGGAGCAAACAGGAUUAGAUACCCUGGUAGUCCACGCCGUAAACGAUGUCAACUAGCUGUCUGUGAACUUGAUUCGUGGGGUAGGCGUAGCUAACGCGCUAAGUUGACCGCCUGGGGAGUACGGCCGCAAGGUUAAAACCUCAAAUUGAAAUUGGGACCGGGGGCCCGCACAGGCCGGGUGGGAGCAGUGGUGGUUUUAAAUUUCGUAUUGCCA
Molecule: ribosomal RNA, 944 nt
Filed under: uncultured bacterium
Lineage: Bacteria
Description: bacterial SSU rRNA
Rfam family: Bacterial small subunit ribosomal RNA
Source: RNAcentral